GCGACACUAGCUCAGUUGGUAGAGCGCAACCUUGUUCCAAGGUUGAAGGAUCACGAGUUUCGAACCUCGUGUGUCAGCUCCA
Molecule: transfer RNA, 82 nt
Filed under: Vibrio cholerae
Lineage: Bacteria; Pseudomonadati; Pseudomonadota; Gammaproteobacteria; Vibrionales; Vibrionaceae
Description: tRNA-Asn
Rfam family: tRNA
About the family: Transfer RNA (tRNA) molecules are approximately 80 nucleotides in length.
Source: RNAcentral